This 76-nucleotide transfer RNA is filed under the name Candidatus Omnitrophota bacterium. RNAcentral's name for it is "tRNA-Asn". It matches the Rfam family "tRNA". Rfam says of the family: Transfer RNA (tRNA) molecules are approximately 80 nucleotides in length. Their secondary structure includes four short double-helical elements and three loops (D, anti-codon, and T loops). Lineage: Bacteria; Pseudomonadati; Candidatus Omnitrophota. The record is from RNAcentral.
UCCCCCUUAGCUCAGUCGGUAGAGCGCGUGGCUGUUAACCACUAGGUCCAAGGUUCGAGUCCUUGAGGGGGAGCCA